GAUACUACUUUAAUUAAAUAAUUUAUAUUGAAAUUUAAAAAAUAUUUAACAAACAAAUAAAUCAUAAUCAGGCUUGUAUUUGUCCUGUAUAGUAUAGUAAACCUUGUUAUUAUAUGUAUUUUAUUUUUAUUUAAAUAUUUCAUUGAUGCAAACAAUCAAUAUUGCUCGCCAUUCAAGAAUUUGUCAUCGAAUUGACUCACUCAGACAACGGCAGAAUUUAUUGAUUGUUUAUAUUACUCAUACGCAACGUUGGAGGGGUGCAUUUUGUGGUCACACGAAUACAAAUCCUAGGCUUUUGCGGUUUAGAAGGUGUGGCAAGGGUUGAGGGAGAUAUACAUAUUCCAAUGAGGUAAUUGUCAAAUGGCUAAUAAGCAGUAUUUUCACCACACAUUUAGAAAACAAGAAUAAUAAAGUUAGAAUUAUUUGGGCCAACCUUAAGGGCCUAUAACUCCUGCUGUUUUCCCCAACUUUCAUCACCGCAAGAUGAGAAAUGAAAAUGGCAGGCAACUGGGUCAUCUUCCUAGAAAGAAAGACAAUGCCCGAAACCCAAAACCCAAAACACGAAAUCGCAAUCAUUUUACUUUUGAUUAUAAACAAAAUAAAAUGAAAAGAUGCUGGGUGAAAGAGUUGGAAAUUAUUUCUAGCCACUAAUCGCUGGCCAAAUUCGACCUAGAAAAGGCCUCAGUCAGGCUGUUGGAGAUCAUCUUCUUUCUAUUUCAUUCAGUUGGACAGCCAUGGAAAGGGACAGGAACCUCCCGGACGACAAAGUGAAAGAAAAUCUUUGAGGUUUUCCUCAGCACGAUUCGGCUAGCAUAUAAUUUGAAGAUUUAGAGAGUCGAGAUCGCAUUUUGCAUGCCAAAUGCCGGGCACAAUUUGUCCUCCAUGUAGAUCCCCAAAUCCAAAAAACCCAAAACCAAAAACCCAAAACCGAAACCAAAAACCAAACCAAAUCCAUACCAAGUUCAAAGUCGUGCCCAAGUCCCCAAGACUCUCCCCCUUUUUCGCCAGAACUUUCCGCACUUCACUCUACAUCUCUGGCCAAAGAAGGUCAUGGACAGAUUUUUAGGUACCAGCCCCUCUUCGGUCCACUGGUGGGUCUGUCUGCCCGGUCUCGGCCAAUUGACUGCAGAGAUUUAUUAUGGAAAUCUAUAAAAAAUAUGGCCAUAGAUUGGCAUACAUUCCCCCCAUCGUGGCCAGACCAGCCCGGACUUGGACCAGCUCGCUGAUAGCUUUAUAAUAUUUAUCUACCUUUCUAAAUCUGUCCUAAUUAGGAUUCGAUUCGGCCGGGCAAUCGAUACAUUCUUCUGGACUGGAUUCUGCUUUGUUUUAGCCUCCAAUCGAUUGGUUUGUUUACACAAAAGAGCCACUACAAUGCGGAAAUAUUUUGAGAAGUCUAUUUCUGGGACUACAAUGGGAGAUCUUACUUCUGUUUAACUUUUCCACUUUAAGAAGCUCAAUAAUGGCAGUUAUAAUGGCUUAACCAACAAACCAUCAAGUUUAUUUAUUUUUUUAUAAUUAGAAAAUAGAAUAAUUACCAAUAUAUAUUUAUUAUUUAACUGCCUUCCAUAAACCAUAAUUAUUUUAGAAUUAAAACUGGGUUUAUGCGCUCACAUCCAUCUCCUUCGUCCAAUUGAUUUUAUUGCUGGACAGUAGUGGCCAUCAGCUCCCUAGCUCCCAAAUUCCCUCUGCCCGCUGGCUACCGACGAUCCUAACUGUAAAAUUACAAACUUGCACCCCACCGCCACCCUUUCGGUCUAUUCUGGCCCCCGCCUCUGGGCCACUGAGCCGGCCGGAGUCUGGACGAUUCUCAUUUAAUGCAUUUCCUUAAGACGACAACGAAGACGAAGAGCAGCGCACUGGACACUUGACUGGACACCGUGGACAGUGAACACUGGGCUGGAGCGCACCGGACUUGUGUCAGCUAAAUUAUUUCCACGGCUCUCGAUUCGAUUCCUCAGCUCGUUGGGGCUCUUUUAUGGCCAACUUGCACGCAUCUGUCAGUCUAGCAGAGCCGAUGCAGCCGCCCCCUCCUUGGCCGAUGGAGUCCCCCCAUUUUUAUGACCUCUGCCAGCGGGCAAGUUAUCUACCAACUAGAUGCACUUGAAAAAAUAAUGGAUAAUUCUUAUGAAAAGGGGAGGAAAUAAAUAUUACAAAUAUAAAUUAAAAACAUCAAAUAUUUCAAGAAAAACACUUCAAAAAUAUUUUCAAAAUUUUCCAAAAAAUCCUAACAAUUUUCUGAAGUGCAAUCAUGGCCAUCUAAUCGCUUGGGAUGGAACGGGAUGGCAACUGCUUUUACCCAUCCCAAAAUAGCCAGCCCCCCCGAAGGAGAUGGAUUCAGAAAGAGACAGAGAGUGCGCAUGCGUGACUGCCCAAUGCAUCUUCUUAUUUAACAUUUUUCUUUCUUUUUCUUUUUGUUUUUAAGUAAAAAAGUCUUCCUGUUUCGGUUUCUUCUUCAUCUGCA
Molecule: long non-coding RNA, 2461 nt
Organism: Drosophila ananassae
Lineage: Eukaryota; Metazoa; Arthropoda; Insecta; Diptera; Drosophilidae
Exons: 2
Source: RefSeq, a predicted model, not a curated record